RNAcentral lists this ribosomal RNA (497 nucleotides) under uncultured bacterium. Its description in RNAcentral is "partial 16S ribosomal RNA". It matches the Rfam family "Bacterial small subunit ribosomal RNA", at positions 28 to 507 of the family's 1533-position model. The record is from RNAcentral.
GAUGAACGCUGGCGGCGUGCCUAAUACAUGCAAGUCGAGCGAACAGACGAGGAGCUUGCUCCUCUGACGUUAGCGGCGGACGGGUGAGUAACACGUGGAUAACCUACCUAUAAGACUGGGAUAACUUCGGGAAACCGGAGCUAAUACCGGAUAAUAUAUUGAACCGCAUGGUUCAAUAGUGAAAGACGGUUUUGCUGUCACUUAUAGAUGGAUCCGCGCCGCAUUAGCUAGUUGGUAAGGUAACGGCUUACCAAGGCGACGAUGCGUAGCCGACCUGAGAGGGUGAUCCGCCACACUGGAACUGAGACACGGUCCAGACUCCUGCGGGAGGCAGCAGUAGGGAAUCUUCCGCAAUGGGCGAAAGCCUGACGGAGCACCGCCGCGUGAGUGAUGAAGGUCUUCGGAUCGUAAAACUCUGUUAUUAGGGAAGAACAAAUGUGUAAGUAACUAUGCACGUCUUGACGGUACCUAGUCAGAAAGCCACGGCUAACUACGUG